GAUGAACGCUGGCGGCGUGCCUAAUACAUGCAAGUCGAGCGAACAGACGAGGAGCUUGCUCCUCUGACGUUAGCGGCGGACGGGUGAGUAACACGUGGAUAACCUACCUAUAAGACUGGGAUAACUUCGGGAAACCGGAGCUAAUACCGGAUAAUAUAUUGAACCGCAUGGUUCAAUAGUGAAAGACGGUUUUGCUGUCACUAAUAGAUGGAACCACGCCGCAUUAGCUAGUUGGUACGGUAACGGCUUACCAAGGCAACGAUGCGUAGCCGACCUGAGAGGGUGAUCGGCCACACUGGAACUGAGACACGGUCCAGACUCCUACGGGAGGCAGCAGUGGGGAAUCUUGCGCAAUGGGCGAAAGCUUGACGGAGCAACGCCGCGUGAGGGAUGAAGGCCUUCGGAUCGUAAACCGCUGUUAUUAGGGAAGAACAAAUGUGUAAGUAACUAUGCACGUCUUGACGGUACCUAAUCAGAAAGCAACGGCUAACUACGUG
This 497-nucleotide ribosomal RNA is filed under the name uncultured bacterium. RNAcentral's name for it is "partial 16S ribosomal RNA". It matches the Rfam family "Bacterial small subunit ribosomal RNA", at positions 28 to 507 of the family's 1533-position model. The record is from RNAcentral.